This 253-nucleotide ribosomal RNA is filed under the name uncultured bacterium. Its description in RNAcentral is "partial 16S ribosomal RNA". It matches the Rfam family "Bacterial small subunit ribosomal RNA", at positions 524 to 776 of the family's 1533-position model. The record is from RNAcentral.
UACGGAGGGGGCUAGCGUUAUUCGGAAUUACUGGGCGUAAAGGGCUCGUAGGCGGCCAACUAAGUCAGACGUGAAAUCCCUCGGCUUAACCGGGGAACUGCGUCUGAUACUGGAUGGCUAGAGGUUGGGAGAGGGAUGCGGAAUUCCAGGUGUAGCGGUGAAAUGCGUAGAUAUCUGGAGGAACACCGGUGGCGAAGGCGGCAUCCUGGACCAAUUCUGACGCUGAGGAGCGAAAGCCAGGGGAGCAAACGGG